CGAACGGGUGAGUAACACGUGAGUAACCUGCCCUCUUCUUUGGGAUAACGCCCGGAAACGGGUGCUAAUACUGGAUAUUCACUGAUCUUCGCAUGGGGGUUGGUGGAAAGGUUUGUUCUGGUGGGGGAUGGGCUCGCGGCCUAUCAGCUUGUUGGUGGGGUGAUGGCCUACCAAGGCUUUGACGGGUAGCCGGCCUGAGAGGGUGACCGGUCACAUUGGGACUGAGAUACGGCCCAGACUCCUACGGGAGGCAGCAGUGGGGAAUAUUGCACAAUGGGCGGAAGCCUGAUGCAGCGACGCCGCGUGAGGGAUGGAGGCCUUCGGGUUGUAAACCUCUUUCGCUCAUGGUCAGGCCGCAACUGUGGGUUGUGGUGAGGGUAGUGGGUAAAGAAGCGCCGGCUAACUACGUGCCAGCAGCCGCGGUAAUACGUAGGGCGCGAGCGUUGUCCGGAAUUAUUGGGCGUAAAGGGCUUGUAGGCGGUUGGUCGCGUCUGCCGUGAAAUUCUCUGGCUUAACUUGGGGGCGUGCGGUGGGUACGGGCUGACUUGAGUGCGGUAGGGGAGACUGGAACUCCUGGUGUAGCGGU
RNAcentral lists this ribosomal RNA (586 nucleotides) under uncultured Actinomycetes bacterium. RNAcentral describes it as "bacterial SSU rRNA". It matches the Rfam family "Bacterial small subunit ribosomal RNA", at positions 99 to 682 of the family's 1533-position model. Lineage: Bacteria; Bacillati; Actinomycetota; Actinomycetes. The record is from RNAcentral.